RNAcentral lists this long non-coding RNA (2032 nucleotides) under Sus scrofa (pig). Its description in RNAcentral is "lncRNA (ENSSSCG00070004173.1)". Lineage: Eukaryota; Metazoa; Chordata; Mammalia; Artiodactyla; Suidae. The record is from RNAcentral.
CAUUGUGGCUCAGUGGUAAUGUACCUGACUAGCAUCCAUGAGGAUGCAGGUUCGAUCCCUGGCCUUGCUCAGUGGGUUAAGGAUCCAGCAUUGCUGUGAGCUGUGGUCUAAGUCACAGACAUGGCUCAGAUCUGGCACUGCUGUGGCUGUGGUGUAGGCGGACAGCUGUAGCUCCAAUUCGACCCCUAACCUGGGAACCUCCAUAUGUCUUGGGUGUGGCCCCAAAAAGACAAAAAAAAAAAAAAAAAAGAAAGAAAUAUAUAUAAACUACUUGGAGCCAUGCCUGGCAUAGAAGUGAAUGCUGACUAAAUGUGAAAUAUCCUCAUUGCUAAUAAUAGCAAGCUGUUGAAUAGUUUUUCAAGAAUUUUAAUUUAAUCUCACCAAACAUUCUUGAAAGCAGUAGUUCUCACUCAAACUUCUAGUUUUAUAUCCUUCUGAGCGAUGGGCCCAACCUAGGUCCUCAAAUGCUGGUUUAUCACCACCACCCCAUCAUCAUCAUCAUCACUAAUAUUACCAUUUAUCAUCAUCUCCACCAUCACAACUGUCACCAUCAGCAUCACUGUAACUGUCACCGUGAGCAUCAUAUAAUCACCAUUAUCACUGCCAACAUCACCUCCAUCACAACUGUCACCAUCAGCAUCAUCACCAUUAUCACUGCCAACAUCAUCACCUCCAUCACAACUGUCACCAUCAGCAUCAUCACCAUUAUCACUGCCAACAUCACCUCCAUCACAACUGUUACCAUCAGCAUCAUCACUAUUAUCACUGCCAUCAUCACCUCCAUCACAACUGUUACCAUCAGCAUCAUCACCAUUAUCACUGCCAACAUCACCUCCAUCACAACUGUUACCAUCAGCAUCAUCACUAUUAUCACUGCCAACAUCAUCACCUCCAUCAAAACUGUCACCAUCAGCAUCAUCACCAUUAUCACUGCCAACAUCACCUCCAUCACAACUGUUACCAUCAGCAUCAUCACUAUUAUCACUGCCAACAUCGCCUCCAUCACAACUGUUACCAUCAGCAUCAUCACCAUUAUCACUGCCAACAUCACCUCCAUCACAACUGUUACCAUCAGCAUCAUCACUAUUAUCACUGCCAACAUCACCUCCAUCACAACUGUCACCAUCAGCAUCAUCACUAUUAUCACUGCCAACAUCAUCACCUCCAUCACAACUGUCACCAUCAGCAUCAUCUCCAUUAUCACUGCCAACAUCAUCACCUCCAUCACAACUGUCACCAUCAGCAUCAUCGCUAUUAUCACUGCCAGCAUCAUCACCUCCAUCACAAUUGUCACCAUCAGCAUCAUCACUAUUAUCACUGCCAGCAACAUCACCUCCAUCACAACUGUCACCGUCAGCAUCAUCACUACCAUUAUCAGUGUCAUCACCUCCACCACCAUAACUGUUACCACCGUCAACAUCAUCACCUCCAUCACAACUGUCACCGUCAGCAUCAUCACCAUUAUCACUGCCAGCAUCAUCACCUCCAUCACAACUGUCACCAUCCGCAUCAUCACUACCAUUAUCAGUGUCAUCACCUCCAUCACAACUGUCACCGUCAGCAUCAUCACUAUUAUCACUGCCAGCAUCAUCACCUCCAUCACAACUGUCACCGUCAGCAUCAUCACUACCAUUAUCAGUGUCAUCACCUCCACCACCAUAACUGUCACCAUGAUUAUCACUGUAACUGUCACCAUCACCAUCAUCAUUAUCACUGUUACCCGGUCAACAUCAUCACCUCCAUCACAACUGUCACCAUCAGCAUCAUCACUACCAUUAUCCAUGUCAGCAUCAUCAUCUCCACCAUCAUAAUUGGCCCCAUCAUCAUCAUUAUCAGCAUAACUGCCACCACCACCACCAUCAUCAUCUCUAGAGCCAUCACUGACCAUGUACAUUAUGUCCCAGCUCCUAGAGCAGUGCUUUCCAUAUCUAUUUGGUUUAUAUAGCAACCCUGCUAAUUGGGAAUUCUUCCCCUCUCCCCACUUGAUGAAUGAGGACGACUGGGUGCUAAGGGAUGAAACACCUAGCUAAAG